This 434-nucleotide ribosomal RNA is filed under the name uncultured bacterium. RNAcentral's name for it is "bacterial SSU rRNA". It matches the Rfam family "Bacterial small subunit ribosomal RNA", at positions 958 to 1392 of the family's 1533-position model. The record is from RNAcentral.
AACGCGAAGAACCUUACCAGGCCUUGACAUCCUCUGACAAUCCUAGAGAUAGGACGUUUCCUUCGGGAACAGAGAGACAGGUGGUGCAUGGUUGUCGUCAGCUCGUGUCGUGAGAUGUUGGGUUAAGUCCCGCAACGAGCGCAACCCUUGCCUUUAGUUGCCAGCAUUGAGUUGGGCACUCUAAAGGGACUGCCGUAGACAAUACGGAGGAAGGUGGGGACGACGUCAAAUCAUCAUGCCCCUUAUGGCCUGGGCUACACACGUGCUACAAUGGGUUGGGACAAAGGGAAGCGAAGCCGCGAGGUGAAGCCAAUCCCAUAAAACAACCCCCAGUUCGGAUUGCAGGCUGAAACCCGCCUGCAUGAAGUUGGAGUUGCUAGUAAUCGCAGAUCAGAAUGCUGCGGUGAAUGCGUUCCCGGGUCUUGUACACACCG